UCGGAGCUUUGGCAUGAAUCACUGUGCACAGACUUAAACAACAAAUGCACUGUCAUUCUUUCCCUUUGCUAUUUUAAAUUACGUGGGGGGAGAAAAAGUCUCAUCUAGAACCUACUGAAGUGAAUGGGAUGACUUCUUUAAUUUAAGGCGAUCUUGGUUUAUAUUUUAGGACCUUACAUAAGAGCUGCCUACAUCCUCCCUCUUCCCUGAGCAGUUGGAGGAAAGCUGAGCACAUCCUCCCCUGCAUCGCGUGGCUCUUCUCUGCAGACAAGAAGUGAGGUUAAGAGUUGGUUAAUUCAUCAUUUGACUGCAAAAGGAGCCCUCAUGAUGGUGGGACAGCUGAGCAGUGAGCCAUUGAGAAGUCUUUUGUCACCGAGGGGAGAUGGAGAAUUUGGUGAAGACAGAUCUUUGGGACACGUGGGGCUGCUGGGCUCACACCACCUCCUCCUGCCUCUGGCCUGACUGGAGAUAAGCAGCCUGUGCCUGUGAUAGGUCUCUUCAUCCCAAAAUAUGCGCAGCAAAGUAUGUAUUUAAUGUAAUCAGCCUGUAGGCUAUAGAUCAACAGCAUUUUCUGCUUUGUGCAGCUUCUCGAAUGAGUCAUGUUUUCCUCUUCAUUUGGAUGUGCGUAUCCUCCAAGCCAGUUGAUAAAUCGUUCUUCCCUAACUCAAUUAAAUGUGGUUGUGUUUUCCUGUAGUGCUACAGUUUAAUUCACAGCAUUGCAGAGAAUGUACUGUAACGAGGCUUCUUGUAAGUUGUUUGUACACGUUGCAGUUUUGUCUAAAAGAGCUACUGCUGUAAAGUGAAUUAUGGAUUUCUAGAGAGGAAAAAAGGUUCCUUGGGCUGCACCUUUAAUAAAACCUCCGAGAUCAGUGCCUGGAGGAUCCUG
This 886-nucleotide long non-coding RNA is filed under the name Calidris pugnax (ruff). RNAcentral's name for it is "lncRNA (ENSCPUG00000018877.1)". The record is from RNAcentral. Lineage: Eukaryota; Metazoa; Chordata; Aves; Charadriiformes; Scolopacidae.